GGAGGCAUAGUCUAGUGGUAGGACGUCAGCUUUACACGCUGAAGGUCUGGGUUCGAUUCCCUGUGCCUCCA
Molecule: transfer RNA, 71 nt
Filed under: Microcaldota archaeon
Lineage: Archaea; Nanobdellati; Microcaldota
Description: tRNA-Val
Rfam family: tRNA
About the family: Transfer RNA (tRNA) molecules are approximately 80 nucleotides in length. Their secondary structure includes four short double-helical elements and three loops (D, anti-codon, and T loops). Further hydrogen bonds mediate the characteristic L-shaped molecular structure. tRNAs have two regions of fundamental functional importance: the anti-codon, which is responsible for specific mRNA codon recognition, and the 3' end, to which the tRNAs corresponding amino acid is attached (by aminoacyl-tRNA synthetases). tRNAs cope with the degeneracy of the genetic code in two manners: having more than one tRNA (with a specific anti-codon) for a particular amino acid; and 'wobble' base-pairing, i.e. permitting non-standard base-pairing at the 3rd anti-codon position.
Source: RNAcentral